This 19101-nucleotide long non-coding RNA is filed under the name Malus domestica (apple). RNAcentral's name for it is "long non-coding RNA (MDOM_LNC014626)". Lineage: Eukaryota; Viridiplantae; Streptophyta; Magnoliopsida; Rosales; Rosaceae. The record is from RNAcentral.
CUCCUCAUGCUGCCGCUGCACUACUAAUUGCGCCAAAAAGACGUGGAGAGUGGUGAGAUUGUUGUUCGCGGAGUUGGAGAGGUGCUUUGACACGAAACCCGGAUUGUUGAUGAGAGCAGACCACCAUUUAGAGACACAUUUGAAUCGCAUCAGAGUUUUGGGAGGCAGAGUUAGUAGGAUUUUCACCAACAUAUCUUGUCCCAUUUUCAUUUUGCUGCUGCGACACUACUCGCGCUCUCCCUCUAACGAUAAACAACAAAUUAUGAAAACUUUUUAAUUAAGAUUUUUAAGAAGAAAAAAUCACAAACAGUAAACUGAUUAAGAUUUUAGAUCAAAUCUUUGAUUAAUUCUCGGAAGCAAGGUCCAAUUACAUACAUCCUGAUCUGCGUGUGUGCAUAUCAUCACCAUAGAAACUGAUUAGGAUUAGUACGUAAAGAUUUUAAUUAAUUGUUGCAGAAAUUACCGGAGACGAAAGAGACCCCCGUCGGAGAAGGAGUCGAUGGAGGCCGCACUUGCUGGCUUUGUGUUCUGCUCUACGACUGUGAUGAUAGACCGAGUGUGAGAGAUGCGUUUCUUGAACCCUCUACCUCAAAAGUUGGGCCCACCUAAUUUCAUCCAUUGCUUUCUUUGUGGCCCUCUGGUAGCGUUUGGUUCUGCGAUUGGUACGCGCGCAGGAUGGAACAGGACGGUUGUUCCGUUCUGCAUUUGGUAGCACAUGGACGGAACGGAACCAAAAGAUUAAAAUGACUAAAAUACCCAUGUUUCGUUCUGCGUUUGGUAGCGCAUGGACAAAACAGAACCACAAGGCUUUUUAUUAUUUUUUUAUUUUCUAAGUUGUUCAAAUUUGAACACUAUUAUCCAUUAUUUGUUUUUCUUGGUCCAAAUUUUAAUAGGUAUAUAUUGUGUUCCACAUGCAAACCCCUUUAAAAUUUGUAAUUUUGGGUAGUUUCUUGUAGUUAACCCUUUUAUUGUUUUUUAAAACAAAAUAUAAUUAUCAAAUAAGUUAUCAGUUAAAAAAAAAAAAUAUUGAUUGAGCUUUCAAAUUAUGGGACAAAUAUGUAUAGUACAUGUUUAACAAAAAGAAAAAGAAAAAUAUAUAUAUAUAUAUAUAGUUUAUAACUCGCAACGCUCACAUAAAACGAAAAGAAAUAUGAACUUAUAUUUUGUCACAUUGUUUAGAUACAAAAAAAAAUUGCGGUCGGAUAAGGAGUUCUGAAGGUACUUAACCCCCUUAUUUCAUGGGAGGGGUCAGUAAGAAAUAGUGUUCCUUACAUAUAAAUGAUCUUUAUUUGCUCCUGUCAAUUUCCUCGUUGGUAGAGGAAGUUUGCAUUCUUGACUUGGUCGCCAGAGUACUGCAAGAUUCUGAUAUUGUUUCUUAGACGAUUUCAGGUGUAUCUAUGGUCUAUCGCAACUCAUGUCACCCUUUCUUUCAUGUUAUGUCUGCGAGCCAAUACAAACUAUGUUUAUGGAUUGGCUAGUUGGUUUUUUUUUAAAACUCCAACAUUUGAAUUUUGUUUUCCUCAGAGUAGGAAAUUUUGCUGCGGAUGAGAGCAGUGCUUGGCUGAAGCACUAAGAACAUGCCAGGAAUGCAGGCAAGGUAGAGAGACUGGCCAUGCAGAAAUGCCAAGACAGAAACGACGUCGUCGCCAUAUAUGAUGCCAAGGUAACAAAACUGAGGCUGAACUAGCCCGAAUUAAUGCACAAAACUGGUGCAAGUAAAGGCAUAACGAGCUCAAGGAAUGGCGGAUAGGCUCUUUAAAAUAUGAAAACUUACCUUGUGUUGUUAUAAAAGCAUGGCUCUGUAGAACCUAGGCUGUCGGGCAACUUAAUUUGGUAUCGAAUUUGCUAUCCAUGAGAUUUGAACCUAAGACCUAUCACUUCGAAGUGAAGAGGAAUACCAUCAGAUUUGACUCAUAAGUUUGUAUGAACAUGCAAAAGAAGGGAACAAGUCGUGCAAAAUUUAGGUAGCCUGUUUCCUUACGUUGCUCUAGUUUAAGUGAGAAGCAAGGUGAUUGUAUUGAUGGGUAUUUUUUUUUUGGAUGAAAUCUAGGAUAUCCCCCGCACAUAGGCAAUGACCAAUCCUCGAGCCGGGUCGGACCCCAUGUCAGGGGGCAAGCUUUUCCAAUGUUGGCUUCUCCAUUCACAAGGCUUGAACUCGAGACCUUGCUUAAGAAGAACAAGCUCCUUACCAACUUAAACCACCAAAACAUUGGUGUUGAUGGGUAUUUUUUCGUUUACUCUCCUACCCCACCUCGUUUUGCUUACUCCCAAAAAAAUUAUGUCUUUGGCUUAAGUCUGUGUCUUGCUAAAAAGCCAAUCUUUGUUUAACAACCACACAUUGUCUAACCAACUCUUUCUUGCGGAGGAGUAGCGGCCGAUCUAUCUCAUGGCAAAAGGAAUUGGCAGAGUAUCAAGCUAGACUUUGAAGUAAAAAAUCCAAGGUUUUAUAAAUUGAUGAAGGAAAAACCAACGUGGUGGAUGGGUCAAGCUCUGCAUUUGCAAUCGAAUCAUUAUGACUACUAGAUGCUCAACAAAAUGGCUCGAUAAAAGCUUUUUUUGGUUGACUAUUAUGACCCUAUUAACUAAACCAAUCUGGCUCUGCCACUUUCUGUGUGUAUAUAUUCAAAUUUUAAAAUGAAGAAAGAGAAGUUGGAAAAGAAAUGUGAGAGAGAGAGAGAAAAAAAAAAGAGAAAAUGGGAGUUUUAUUUUAUUUUAUUUUUUUUCUUAAAUUAAAAGUGCUAUGACUACAUGUUAGUGAAGGUUUGAAAAAAAAAAAAAUACAACGAAGUUUGACUUGGGCGGAAACUUUAUUCUUUUUAGGGUAAAUCUCAGUUUACUACCCUCAAGUUUCGUGGUUUUUCAACAUUUGGUACAUCAAGUUUUUUUCUUCCCAGAGUCAUACCUAAAGUGUUAAUUUUGGAACAGUCUCAUACAUCCGUCAGUCAAACUAUCAAGUCUGCCGUUAACUAAUAACGUGGCGCUCAUGUGGACAAUGACUGGGCGCCACGUGUCAAUAAAAAAAAUUAAAAUUAUUAAACUAUUAAAAUAAUUAAUUAAUUAAAAAAUAAAAUAAUAAAAAAAAUCCAGAACCCCUUUGUCUUCCACACCCCGACCCCCUUCCCUUAUCCCUCCCUUCUCUCCUUUGCACCUACCCCAACGUCUGCACAUCCAUCAUUCCCCCUCCCUCUUCGACUCCACCUACUCAACCCUCCAUCCUCUUCGACGACCCAGUUUCUCUGUAUGCAACCACCACCUUCCCCCACCCCCAUAUUCCCCCACUGUUCUUUCACUCUCCCUACAGAUUUGACCGCCUCGUCUCUCCAGAUUUGCAGUCGAUUUUUUCUUGCUUGCUUCUUCCUAGGCCCCAUGUCCAAACCACAUCCCCUCCUCUGUGGAUCCACUCCUAUCCCCUUCUCUAUCGUCCCCACCCCAAUCUCAUCUCCAAUUCUCUUUCAUAAAUUCCAUUCCUAACCCACAAAACAUGGAGAAAGGAAUACCCAUCCCCACCGUCGUUCGAGCACUUUUCUCCAUUCGUCGGAGACCUUGUCGCCUCUAUCCUUGAUCUGGAAAUAUACCUUAUUGCUUCAAACUUGUUGUGAUUUUGGGUUGAAGGUUGCAGAGGGAGUGAGGUUGGUGAUGGGAAGAGAUUCUACAAAUUGAAGCUACGGACCCUGCAAAGGAAUUAAAGCUUGCUACCGCAGGUCUGGGGCGUGGGAGGAGGGUGAGACUGUGGGUGGCUAGGGCUCGUGGGUAAGGUGGUUGCACAGUGGGAUUAUUGUAGUUGUUUCUAGGUUUCUAUGGGGGCUGCUGCUGGAGAAACCAUUGGGGUAGGUCGCUUGGACUAAGAGGUGGUGGAGAAGAUUGGAGGAGGCAUGGAGAUUUUAGAGCUGGAUGGUGAGGGUGCGGGUAUGGGUUUGCAUAGGAAAGAAAGGAGGAGGGGGUUGGGGGAGGUAGAAGACGGGCAUUUUUUUUUUUUUUGGAAUUUUGAAUUUUGAAUUUUUUAUACCCCUUCUAAAAAAAAUCCACGUGGACCCCUUAAUGACACGUGGUGCACAGUCAUUGUCUACAUAGGCGUCACGUCAUCAGUUAACGGCAGACUUAACAAUUUUAACUAACAGAUGUAUGAGACUGUCCCAAAAUUAACACUUUAGAUAUGAUUCUGGGGCGAAAAAAACUUGAUGUACCAAAUGUUGAAAACCACAAAACUUGAGGGUAGUAAACUGAGAUUUACCCUUCUUUUUAAAUAAACGAUAUUAUCUACAUUAAGGGGGUAAGAGGGUGGGGGAGUGGGUUAAGGCUCACAAUGGGUGAGCCAUAAUAAUGUGGUUCAAAUUCGCCUUUGUUGAAAAUCGAACCUAAUACCUCUCACUUAUCAAUGAAGAGAAAUACUAUUAAACUGUAUUACUAAAUGACAAUUUGGAUGGAAUUAUAUACUAUAUUUCAUUUUUUGAUGGAAUACUAAACCGUCUUUUCACUUUUUUUCAAUUGAUAAGGAAAAUUUAAUUAAUAAGUAGUUUUGAAAAUAAGUACCAUAUUCAUUAUAUGAUGCUAAAAAUGAGUCUCGAUAAAAACUUUGUCAGAAAUUUUAAUCCUAUCUAAGAAUUAUUUUUUAUUAAUAAGUAGUUUAAAUAACUUUUCCAGACCGAGUGGUGGAUGGAUUGUAUGAAAGUGGGAGAAGUCCAAUACCAAUUGUGUACAAUUAUUAUAAUUUAUGACAUCACCCACUUUGACAAAAGCUUGAAUACCAGUGUACGAGGAAAGAUCACAUACGUCAUUCGCCAGUGCACGUGACCCUCUGGUGACUGCCACGUCAUCUAUUUAAUCCCACCCAACCAUCUCGCCCCAGGUGUCGGCCUCCCACUGGUCCUUCCACACGCUAAAGAUCUUACUCCUCUCAUGUAAACCCACCGCACUCCGUCCUCCAUUUCCCAAACUACCCCCGCCUUUUCACGAAAUCCCCAAUACGCCCCUCCCUGGACUUUGCACCCAGCGGCUUGUCUCGGAGCCAGUUUUCUUACGGGAGUGUCCCCUCCUUCGCAAAAACAAAGCCCCGCCUCUCUCCCUCUCUCCCCCUCUCUCUCUCUGCCCCCGUCUUUCACUGGUAUCGUUCGUCUCUCAGAUUCGUCGAUCGGACGGUUCGUUGCGCGGCAGCAAUGACUAUGAUGACUCCUGCACCGUUGGAUGUACGUACCGACUCCUCUACAUUUCCACUCUCGGUUUAAUUUCAUUGGGUUUCGGCUUCGUUCUUCGUUUCUGAUCGCCUAUGGAUCUUGGUGGCGUUCGGCGGUUUCGAACUGGGAUGAAUUUUGGGAAUUCACCGACUUAAAGUGAUUGAUUUGCUAGGGUUAUGAUUCAGUAAGAUAGGGUUAGGUUUUUCUCGAUCAGAGCUCUGAUUUUUGUUUUCUUUUGUUAGCAGCAGCAGCAAGAGGACGAAGAGAUGCUUGUGCCGAACUCGGAUUUGGUCGAAGGUCCUCAGCCAAUGGAAGGUUUAAUUUUUAGCAAUUUUUUCGAUGAGUUACUGUUUGAAUUUCUUAUGUUUGUGUUUAUGGUGUGGUUUUGGAGCGUUAUGUGUGGCGUAGUUGAUCUGAAACAAUUGGUUUUUGUGCGAAUUUGGCAUCACAGGGUUUGAUUAGAGUGCAAGUGUUUGCAUUUUCUUUAGGGUUUUGGUUUUGUUUUUUUGAAAUUUAUGGUAUUUGGUGUGUUGGUAGUAGCCCAAGUGGAGCCAGCUAGUACAGUUGAUAGUCAACCAGUGGAGGAUCCUCCAACGAUGAAAUUCACUUGGACAAUUGAGAACUUUACUAGGUUGAACAUCAAGAAGCACUACUCUGACAUGUUCGUAGUGGGGCGGCUAUAAAUGGUAUUUUUUCUUGUCUACCAGAUGUCAAAAACUGAUUAUAACGCUACUUAAGAUUGGCUUAUAUUUGUAGGUGAUUGGAUUUUGAAUUGCUUUUGGUUUGUUUGAUCAGGCGGAUACUAAUAUUUCCCAAGGGAAACAAUGUGGACUACUUGUCAAUGUAUUUGGAUGUGGCAGAUUCCGGGACAUUGCCAUAUGGGUGGAGUAGAUAUGCACACUUCAGCUUGGCUGUAGUUAAUCAUAUCCAUACCAAGUACUCAAUAAGAAAGGGUAUAUUCCUUUAUUAGUCUUGUUUCUUUUUAGCAUUCAAGUCUGUGCGUUUGCCUGGUUGUCGUAUUCUGUUUUCUUGUUUUCUUUCAGUGAGAGCUUUGCUUGUUGUUGGGUAGUCAUGGGCACCCAAGGCUUUUAAUUAGAAUUUAUUAUCCUUGGAAUGGACCUACCUAAAUGUGACUACGGGACAGAGGUUCGGGGCCGAAGGAGUAGAGGAAGACCUAGGAAAACUUUGGAAGAGACCCUAAGAAAAGACUUGAGUACUUGGAUCUAACGGAGGACAUGACACACAAUGAGCGCAAUGGCGUUCUAGGAUUUAGCCGACCCCACUUAGUGGGAAAAGGCUUUGUUGUUGUUGUUGUUGGAAUGGACCUACCUGGCUUUCAACUUCAUAGUUCUUGGGUGAUGCCAUUUGAACGCAAACAAUAUCUAAUUAACCACUCUAAUCUUGUUAUUGUGAGCUUUUAAUUCUAAUUUUUCUCAUUGAAAUAUCAAAACUAUAAAGUAAAGAAAAUUCUUCCACCCCUUUCUCUCUAAAAUCUUGGCUAACGGCAGCAGCACCAUCGUCUGACUAUGUGCCCAUGGCGCCUUUGUUUGGGGAUUUUUGAAGUUUGAGAAAAAGUGAAUAAAAAAAUUAUGGAUUAAAACGUACCAACAGAUGUUAGAAGUAAAUUGAAAACCAAUAGAUUAUUCCUUUUAGGUAUCUAGAUGUCAAAUAUAGAUUAACAGUAAAGGUAGAAACAGGAAGAAUUUACUUGGAAAUUACGUGCAAUUAAAGGGUGAAUUUCUAGGUAAUGAAAAGGCUAACUGAAUCAAGGGUUCCCAUUUAUUAAGGGAUGAGCUUGAGGCGGGUCUGACGAUCAGAUAUGGUAAAGAAUUGUAUUUUAUUGGUGUGACCUAUGUUCUAGAACAUUAAUUUGCAAUGCGUUUAACCAGAAUUGAACAAUCUUUAAUCAUAUUCAAGAUGUUUUUUUAAGACCUUUGUCGUUCAUUGUUGUAUGAUGUUGCAGACACUCAGCACCAAUUCAAUGCAAGAGAAAGUGACUGGGGAUUCACUUCAUUCAUGCCUCUUGGUGAUCUUUAUGAUCCGAGUAGGGGAUAUCUGGUGAACGAUACAGUUGUGGUUGAAGCUGAGGUUGCUGUCCGUAAGGUUCUAGAUUACUGGUCAUAUGACUCGAAAAAGGAAACUGGUUAUGUUGGGCUCAAGAAUCAGGGAGCAACUUGUUAUAUGAAUUCUCUUCUCCAGACUUUGUACCAUAUACCGUACUUCAGAAAGGUCAUUUACGUGAUCUCCUGUUUUCAUUGUAAGCUAAACAUGAAUUGUUUGAAUUUUCUAUGAAAAGCAUUAUCUCAAUUUUGGACUUACUUACCAGGCCGUGUAUCAUAUGCCAACAACUGAGAAUGACAUGCCUUCAGGAAGCAUCCCUUUGGCGCUACAAAGUUUAUUCUAUAAGCUUCAAUACAAUGACAGCAGUGUUGCAACCAAAGAAUUGACCAAAUCCUUUGGAUGGGAUACAUAUGAUUCUUUUAUGCAACAUGAUGUGCAGGAACUUAAUAGAGUUCUUUGUGAAAAGCUUGAAGAUAAAAUGAAGGUAUAGGAAGCUUUCAGUUUUUGCUAUUGCUGUAGCUUUUGUUCAUUUCAUUUUGAUAAUUGUUCUGUGGGCCCAGGGAACUGUUGUGGAGGGUACAAUACAGCAGUUGUUUGAAGGACAUCACAUGAAUUACAUUGAAUGCAUCAAUGUGGAUUACAAAUCUACAAGAAAGGAAUCAUUUUAUGGUAAUAUUUUAUUGGCACAAUUUCAGUUGUUAAGAGUUGGAAAUAUUUUGUAAAUGUCAGUGCAUGCCACUGGUUUCUUCUUAUUACUUUGCAGACCUACAGCUUGAUGUGAAAGGCUGUCGGGAUGUUUAUGCUUCUUUUGACAAGUAUGUGGAAGUUGAACGUCUUGAGGGUGACAAUAAAUACCAUGCCGAAGAACAUGGUUUGCAGGUUAAUUACCGAAUCACUUUCGGGGGGCUGCAUUUAUACUAUACAUAUAAUCUGAGGCUGCUCGUAGUUGCAUUAUUUCCAAAACUAGGGUUUACAUUGUUUCCUCUGCAGUGAAGUAUUUAAUAUAUGUUCCGAAAACAUGUGUUGGUGGUGUCAUGCAUGAUAUAUUUUAAAUUCUGAUUGGAUGCGUCCUCAGUUUUUUUUCUUUCCAUUAAAUCGCUUGCUGAAGCAAGUAUUCUUACAUAUAUUUCUUCGAUAUUAAAAAUUUACAAUAUUGCUCUCAAGGAAUAUUUUGGAUGUUUAUUCCAGGAUGCUAAGAAGGGUGUUCUGUUUAUUGACUUCCCUCCCGUUCUUCAACUUCAGCUAAAGCGAUUUGAAUAUGAUUUUAUGCGGGACACUAUGGUUAAGGUUGGUACUGGAAGCUCAUCUUCCUCCUUUAGCUUCAUCUGUGUUUAUACAUGAAACAUUGAAACUGUGAUGUUUUACUAUGAAGGUAUGCUUCUUAGCUGAAAACAAAAGUGUACCAUGUAAAAUAUAUUUCUUCACAUUUUGUAUAAAUUCAGGUGAAAGCUUGUCUUUGCCUAAUGGGUUUCAAUCUAAUUUUAAUUUUGUUUUAUGACUGGAUGCUGAAAGAUGGAUUAACCCCUAUCAAUAUGGUUCUUUUUGUUCCUUUCUUUUUCUCAACAAAAAAAACAAAGCCUUUUCCCACCAAGUGUGGUCGGCUAUAUGAAUCCUAGAACGCCAUUGCCCCCGGUUCUAUGUCAUGUCCUCCGUUAGAUCCAAGUACUUAAGUCUUUUCUUAGAGUCUCUUCCUAGGUCUUCCUCUACCCCUUCGGCCCUAAACCUCUGUCCCGUAGUCGCAUCUUCUAACCGGAGCAUCAAUAGGCCUUCUUUGCACAUGUCCAAACCACCGUAACCGAAAGAAAAAAAAAAAACCUCAUUGUUUUUCAGUUUCUUUAUAGUUGAACUUUCUCAAUCUAAUGGAUUAUUUUUAUUCAAAGUUAUAUAUACUAAUGAAAUUCGUUUUUACCUGUUGGGUAUGUUUGUUCGUGUGGCAAUGACAUUUUUUAAAUGGAAAGCAAAUAAAUUAUCAUGGUAAGAAUGUUGUAUUAUUUGUUUUUGGCAGAUAAAUGAUCGCUAUGAAUUUCCUCUUCAACUUGACCUUGAUAGGGAGAAUGGAAAAUAUCUAUCACCUGAAUCAGAUAAGAGUGUUCGCAACCUCUACACUCUUCAUAGGUAUCUAUUUUGCCUUGUACUAUUACAUGAUAUAAUAUAGAUCAUCUAUUUCCUAAAUUUGGCAUGUUAUUUCAAAGGAUUGUACUUUCUAGACCUUUGCAUGUGCAUGGCAUUAUUUACUGAGUGUAACAUAACCAAUUUUCUUCUUGUCUUGACAUAUGAUAUCCCCAGUGGAUAGAUCCAAUUUUUUUCAUUGAAAUUGAAGCUGGGUUAUAGAACUAUCUAAUGUAUGGUCAUUCAUGAUGUCUAGGAGUCUACUUAUUUAUCAAAGUUCUUUCAUGCCUACGACUAUUAAGGCAUUGUGCCUCUACUAUUAGUUGAGUGGGUGGGAUUAUGAAAAAAAUUUCGGGUUUAAUUUAUCAGUUGUGCCCAGUAGUGAUUAUGGUAGUUAAAAAUACUAAUACAAUAUAUGAAGAGGGUUGUUCGAUCCUGCUUUUGCAUAUGCCUGUUUGGUCAUGUUGUGUGGAGCUUCAUAAAUUUUACUUUGUAGUUGGUUACUUACUAUGAUAAUUUUCUACUGUUGCAGUGUCUUGGUGCAUAGUGGUGGGGUGCAUGGUGGCCAUUACUAUGCUUUCAUCAGACCAACCCUCUCAGACCAGUGGUAUGGACGGAUCUCCUGGAAUCGAUUCUCUCUGUAGUUGUCUGGAGUCUCACACAGAAAACACAUGAAUGCAGAGACAGACAUUCUCUCACACUGCUCUCUUGCUUUGCUUCUUACUUUUUUUUGUUGGUCCUUGUUCAAAUAAGAUGGUUUUAUUGGAAUCUAUAUAUUUCACAUUGCUUUUCUGAUGGAUUCUGGUACCAUAACUUGGUUACCUGACUGCUUGCUCUUAUGCAUGAAUGAGUGUUCUUGUGCAUGCAUUUCAUGUGUUGAUGUAAUUUGUCAUGUCUUGUUUUAGGUACAAAUUUGAUGAUGAACGUGUGACAAAAGAGGAUGUGAAGAGGGCUUUAGAAGAGCAGUACGGUGGUGAGGAAGAGGUAGUUUAGUUUUUGCUGUAUCCAACCUGCUAUAGUUUCUCCUUGAUUUUAAAGUUUCUUAAUUGUCAACUGACCUAUUGUUGUUUUCUUUCCAACAGUUGCCACAGACCAAUCCUGGCUUCAAUAAUACUCCUUUCAAAUUUACAAAAUACUCAAAUGCAUACAUGCUUGUGUAUAUACGGGACAGUGAUAAGGACAAAAUAAUAUGUAACGUGGAUGAGAAAGACAUAGCCGAACAUCUAAGGGUAAUGGUAUAUCAAGCAUAAGUUCUGAUUCCAGUGUCCAAUUAAGAGAAUGAACUGACAUUCUAUGUUCCAUUUCAGAUAAGGUUGAAGAAAGAACAAGAAGAGAAAGAGGACAAAAGGAAAUAUAAGGCACAAGCACACCUCUACACUAUUAUUAAGGUAAAGGUUUCUAGUUUAUCCCCAUUUUCACCAUUGUUUGUUCAGAUGUGGUAUGACAGGUGUUUGGUGUGGAACAAAAAAAUUAUGGCAAAAUUUAAUGAUGUGUUUAGGUUGCUCGAGAUGAGGAUCUGACAGAACAAAAUUGGAAGGGAUAUUUAUUUUGACCUAGUGGACCAUGACAAAGUUCGUAAUUUCCGUGUUCAGAAACAAAUGCCCUUUAAUCUUUUCAAGGUACACCAGUACAGGCUGACUUUGUGCAUUUAUGUCUUCUGUAUUCUUUUCUACCAUUUGGGGUUAUGUUUAAUAUGGGAAUUCCUAAAUUUGAAAUGGUUAACAGGAGGAGGUUGCGAAAGAGUUUGGCAUACCAGUGCAGUUUCAGCGUUUCUGGAUUUGGGCCAAGAGACAAAACCACACAUAUCGCCCCAACCGACCAUUGACACCUCAGGAAGAAACACAAUCAGUACGUACUUUGUACUUCCUACCUUUGAAUGGAUUUUCAAUACAAGAUGCCCUGCUCCUUGCCCACAUGCUUUGUUUUCAGUUCUAUUCGUAAUUCGUAAUUCUUAUUAUAUCUGAAUUAUUACUUUUCCUCCAUUUGGAUUAAUAGCGGAUGUUGUCUUUGUAUAGUCUAACACUGAACUGCUCAAGUUUAUGAAUGAAUGAUGGAUGAUUAUAAUUGUUAUUAUUAUUUGUGAAAUUGGAAUUUAACUAAGUGCUUAAUGGAUUGGUCAGUGAUAAACAUUCGAUCUCAGAUUUGGAAUGAUUGAUAGUGUUUUUAACUAGACUUCGGUGCUAAGAAGAGCUUGGUUUAGGUGAUGCAAAGCUAAUGAUGACCGCUUGCAUUUUUCAGGUUGGACACUUGAGAGAGGUAUCAAAUAAAACACACAAUGCAGAGCUAAAGUUGUUUCUGGAAGUAGAGUUUGGGCCGGUAAUCAGUCUUACUCUAUUCUUGUUACUACCUGUGUAGUGAAGCUUAUUGGAGUUCCAAUUGCUGUAUGAAAGGAUUUUUUUCUUACAUUUUAUUGUUUCUGUACAUUUUCCAGGAUCUACGUCCUAUUCCUCCGCCUGACAAAACCAAGGAAGAUAUCCUUCUUUUCUUUAAGCUUUAUGAGCCUGAGAAACGAGAACUACGGUACAUCCUGCUCUUUCUGCUUAGCUGAAUAUUUUUAUCCUUUGCCUUGUGUUUGCUAAUUUAAGUUUCUUUUCUGUUUCCAGUUUUGUUGGUAGGUUUUUUGUGAAGAGUUCUAGUAAACCAGCAGAGAUUUUAGGAAAAUUAAAUCAACUGGCUGGUUUUACCCCUGAUGAAGAAAUUGAGCUUUAUGAGGUGUGUUUCACUUUAAAUUUUAGCAUAAGGUUGUGUCGUAGCUCACACGCACACACGCACACACUCAUAUAUAUUGUACAUAGACAUGUAGAAUAUAUAUGUAUAUUUAUAAUUUGUUGCAUGCUUUGCUGUAGCAUUUUAAGCAAACUUAAUACAUGUUUUUGUGCUACAAUUUCAGGAAAUAAAGUUUGAGCCAUGUAUCAUGUGCGAACAUCUUGACAAGAAGACCUCAUUUCGAUCGAGUCAGGUAACUGUUGCUAUAUUGCAUGCUUGGUAUAUUACAAAUAUGUGUGUAUUAUAGGAAUUAACGUUUUGAUUCUAGGUAUAUUUUCAGUUAACCAUCGGUUGCGUUCCUUUUCCAGAUUGAAGAUGGGGAUAUUAUUUGCUUUCAGAAGUCUACUCCUCUUGAAAGUGAAGAAGAAUGUAAAUAUCCUGAUGUUCCUUCAUUUUUNNNNNNNNNNNNNNNNNNNNNNNNNNNNNNNNNNNNNNNNNNNNNNNNNNNNNNNNNNNNNNNNNNNNNNNNNNNNNNNNNNNNNNNNNNNNNNNNNNNNNNNNNNNNNNNNNNNNNNNNNNNNNNNNNNNNNNNNNNNNNNNNNNNNNNNNNNNNNNNNNNNNNNNNNNNNNNNNNNNNNNNNNNNNNNNNNNNNNNNNNNNNNNNNNNNNNNNNNNNNNNNNNNNNNNNNNNNNNNNNNNNNNNNNNNNNNNNNNNNNNNNNNNNNNNNNNNNNNNNNNNNNNNNNNNNNNNNNNNNNNNNNNNNNNNNNNNNNNNNNNNNNNNNNNNNNNNNNNNNNNNNNNNNNNNNNNNNNNNNNNNNNNNNNNNNNNNNNNNNNNNNNNNNNNNNNNNNNNNNNNNNNNNNNNNNNNNNNNNNNNNNNNNNNNNNNNNNNNNNNNNNNNNNNNNNNNNNNNNNNNNNNNNNNNNNNNNNNNNNNNNNNNNNNNNNNNNNNNNNNCACUACUAGUCUAUUACAAAAUAUUAAAUGUGCAAGGAUAUGCAAAAAGAAAGAGUUUUUGUUUUCAAGGUUAUGAAGCAUUUCUCAAAAGUUUUAAACCUUACUAAUGGAACUCAAAACUUGCAUGUUAUUCCUUUUACAAAAUCCUCAAUUUUCAUCGAUCAUCAUGACAUAAGAUUUUGUGGCAUCCACUUGUGUAAAUAUUUUAAAUUGACAAUAAUCAAAUUAGUUCAUUGUAUUCAUAUAGGAUUAAGGAGUGUAGCUUUUAAAAAAUCAUCAAAAUCGGAGUUAAAAUAACCGUUAAAUGAUUUUUAGUUUAUAACCGUAAAAUUUUUUUGUCCCAUUACUUGAUCUCUGAAUGUUUGUUUUUUUGCAAUUUUUGGCGUAUGUGAUCUCGAAGUAUAUACAAACAUGUUUGAUGGUUGGAUCGUUGAAACUAGUUUCGUAGAAUGCGUAUCCCAUCAAAACAAUAGAUUCACUAACACUUAAGAGUUUAUUCAUAUUUUCAUUAAGUAUAACAUAAAAUUUUGUAGUAUCCACUUGUGUAAAUAUUUUAAAUUGAAGAUCGAGUUCAUUCAUUGUAUUCAUAUAGGGUCAAGGAGUGUAGCUGUAAAAAAUCAUCAAAAUCGAAGUUAAAAUAACCGUUAAAUUGUGAUUUUUCUUUGAUAACCAUCGAAAAGUUUUGUCCCGUUACUUGAUCUCUAAAUGUUUGUUUUUUUCAAUUUUUGGCGUAUGCGAUCUCGAAGCAUAUACAAACAAGUUCGACGGUUGGAUCGUUGAAAUUAGUUUUGUAGAAUGCAUAUCCCAUCAAAACGAUAGAUUCACUAACACUUAGAGUUUAUUUAUACUUUCAUUAAGUAUAACAUAAGAUCGAAUUCAUUCAUUGUAAUCAUAUAGGGUCAAGGAGUGUAGCUGUAAAAAAUCAUCCAAAUCGGAGUUAAAAUAAUCGUUAAAUCGUGAUUUUUCGUUUAUAACCGUUGAAAAGUUUUGUCCCGUUACUUGAUUUUUGAAUGUUUAUUUUGUACGUAUAACACUUAAGAAAUUGAAUGAUAUGUAUAUUUAAGCCGAUCCAAUGGUCACCAAUUUUAAAAUUUAAUAUACAUAUAUAUAAUUAUUAUAGUUUUUAGGGGUAUAAAAUUGUUAAAUUAAUAUAUAUAAUUAUUAUAGUAUUUUUUUUAGGGUUAUAAAAUUAUAAAAUUCAUAUUUUACUUAUCGUGUAUCGUGUUACCCACGUGUAUACCCGAACCAACUCGUUAUCUUAACAGGUGCUUAUCGGGUUACCCAAUAACGACAUGAUUCGUUAUCGUGUUGAUCCGAACACCUGUUAAUUUCGUGUCGUGUCGUGUCAGGAAUUGCCAGGCCUAGUUCCAAGUUUGCUUGUAGCGCACGUAAACGAUAGUUGAGUUUGUGAUAAGUUCAAUUUCUUCAUUAUACAUGAAUUUCUCCAUAUAUAUAUAUAUGCAUAUUACGUACUUAUGUGUGUACUAUAGUUACGUAGGUGAGACAUUUGUACUAAAACUUAUGUACUAAUGUAUUCGUACCACAAUUUUAUGUACCUAUACAUUUGUAACAAUACUCUGUACCUAUGAGUUUUUUUCAUAUAAAUUUUUUAUGUAUUGUUGUUGAUUUUUUUUUAAUUAUAAGAAUUUAAAUUUUGGAUAAAUUUUUAUCUAUUUGUAUGAUUGGAGCAUAAAAAUAUACAUGACUUAAGAAUAGGUUUAUAAAUGUUAUAAUACUUAAAUAUGGUAAGUUUUAAUAAUAAAUACUUGAAUUAGAUUUAGAAAACGAUUCAUGUUAAAAUAUAAAAAUAUCUUAUUUAAGUCAUAAAAUCUAAAAACUCCAUUUUUUUUCAAAACUAGUAAAGGAAAAAGUGACGAUGAAACAUUGCGGACAACAAUUGGAGUCGCUCGGGUUAGAUUUCAUGUCUUUUGGAACAAGUAUGGCCAUAUCAGCGGAGUCACUCGAAUUUCACCUAUUGUCCCGGAACAAGGUGAUGGUGGCAUCGCUACUCUGUCAGGUCAAACUCUUCACAGAGUUGUUGAGUCAUGACCAUAUUUUUGAGGUAACGUUAUUCCGAUCAUCCUUUCUCCAACUUUAGAAUACGUACUGUUUGGUCUUCUAUCUUUGUAUAUGAUCCAAUUUCGUACAAUGUAGCAGAGACAUUUCCGACUCAGUGGUGCAAUCUCGAACGUCGUGCAAAAAAAUUGUGAUGAUGAUGAAUACUGUUUGCUUCCUAAUAGAUUAAUAGAGUUUAAUCUGUCAAUCUUUUCGAAGUAAGGAGUGUUGAGGAAAAACAUAGGUAAGCUUAUGGGCCCGGGGUAGAGUUCAAAAGCCAUCUUCGGUGACGUUGUUUUGGAAAAAAACAUCACCUCCAAAUUUAGUAUUUGUAAAGAUUUCCACCGCGAUAUCCGGAAUACCACCUUACUUCGAUACUAGGUAUUAAAUAUUAAGCUAAUGGAAAACCUUUAGCCCUAGACUCACGGUAAUGCAUUGACCAGAUUAAGGUUGAGGAAGUGUCGAAUCAUACCCGGAAAGACCUUUAGAUUUAAAUGUUAGUCUGACAUGUUUGAGUUGUCUUUGUUUGUUGAUUUCGUUUGUUCUUUCACCUUGUCCCCACUCCAAGUCAGAGAAUUUCAAUAGUGCAACGUAUCAUUCUCAGUCCGAAGUGUGUGUCCAUCCCUAGUGAUUCUUAAACGAAAGAUCAUUAGGAACUUGGUUGGCUGCAUGUAGGUCGGAAACACUUUGUAAAUCCUUUUAUCAGACCCUAUGAGUCAGACUCGCGGACUUUGAAUGUCGUUUUCGGUUUCUCCGAAUGUGUCACACAUAUUGCAUGUGGUGAUGACCGGUUGUUGUUUGGAUGGGAUAUUUUGCAUGCGUACGAUAUCCCUUAUGUGCACCCCACUGCGUUAUGGUCUUGGUAGUUAUUAUAUUUUUACUUGGUCAUCAGGCAUUGUUGGUUUAUAGUAAUGUUUGGGUAAUCACUUACCACUCUACUCUCUUAUUUACCCACCAUCACUUCACUCUUCAUUUCUCACCGAAUCUCUCUCUCUCUCUCUCUCUCUCUCACUCACACUCCACCCUCUUGUAUUAUGUGUAUAAUGAUAGCAGAAAAAGUGGCAGUGGAGGUUGUCCAGAGAAAUAUAUUGGCGCCAAUACUGGAUGAUAUUCAUGUGGAGGUUGAGAUAGGAGGACCUCAAUUUUGGUAGAUUUUAGAUGCUGUUAUCUUGUAAAAUGUUAGACAACUUCAUUCACUUAAUAUAUAUUACCUAGUUAAACUCAUUCUAUUUUCUCUUCAGAUCUUGUUUCUAAUCUUAAUACCUCACCCAAUUCGUGAAUUUGAGUUAAGUUUUUUUUUUUUCCUUCUUCUUUUCAAUUUUCUUCUCAACUAAUGCAGUUUAAGGUUUAUUAAUUAUAGAUCGAUAUAAUUAGUAUGUGAGUGGGCAAGAAUCCGAUAUAAUUCAUGUGAAAAAAAAAAUUUCAAUUCUUUUUAAAAAAUUUUGGUAUAGGGCACGAUUAUACAGAAGUGCCCAAUCAGUUGAGAAGGGUUGUCAGACCUAUCUGAAUGAAGGCACAAAUUAGGCUCUAUAGUGCGUUGCCUUAAUAACACAAACAACUAUAUUGUGCCCUUUGACCAAAGGACACACUCAUAAAGGGCACACAUAGAAUUAUCGUUGCUGCACUGUUGCUAUUUGUCUACGAGCACAUAUGUUGGUGCUCUUUGGUCUCAAAGGGCACAAAUAGUUUAAGGAAAACUAAUGAAAAUGGCUUGAAAACUUUGAGUUUUAAUGAGAAGGACAAAAUAAAGGGUAAAGUGAAUAGUAGCAGAUUUGACUUUUUUUGUGUAAAAAUGUGAUUUUUUCGUUAAAAUGAACAGAACCGUAGACUUUUCGUUCGUUAAAACUCCCAAUAAUUUAUUGUGUGCAGUACCCAUAUUUUUUGUAAUGUGCCGAGUGCUAUGCAUAUAUAUAUGCAACCGGAGAGCUUGUCUAACAACCGAUUUCAGCAAUCUUGGUCCAAGAUUUCAAAGAUCUGUCAUCGUAGUCUAUUUCAUACAAUGCAAAGUGAGUUAUGGGGAAGGUCCAGCUAGUAAUGCUCUCGUCGAGAAUAUUAACAAUUUCCCCAGCUUUUUUCCUUUCUUCUUCCGUCAACUACCCGUAGAGGAGACUCAAAUAUGGCAUAGAACCUGCAUCAAAUAUUGCAGACACGCAGAUUACAUACAUACAUUCCCGUCAACACUUUAAGAAAUUAAGUUACUGUAAAUAGCAACUUACUGUUGUAGAAACCGAAAUGGUAGCUCCAACUUUGGGCAUUUUCAAAUAACUAAGAAAAGAAGGUGUAAUGAUAAGUGAGUCUAUUCAAGCUCAAACCAAAAUGAGAAAGAUGAAAAGGAAACAAAACAGAACUAAACAAAACAUCAAGAAAAUAUAUACCUCUCGAUCCAUCAAUAAUGAAACACACUGGUGAUAGUAAUUCUUAGUAACCACCCGAUCAACUUUAGCAACGAUGUCAUUAGGAGCAAAUCUAAACUUGUUAAGGGCAUCCUCACGACUCAUCAUCUGGAUGGAUCCCAAGAUGGGGAUGUGAGGUUCGAUCUCUGGCCCACCAAACUCUGCCUGGAGGCCCUCCAUCACCUUCUUGAUUCUAUGGGAAACAUCAGCCGGUGGAAUGGCCCAAACCGAAAUAUGAGUACAACCUCUGGCAGCUUUCCCUCUUCCCGACUACCAUCACCAUCGCAUCUUCAUCUUUAUCUGAGCAAGUAUUCUCUAUGCUCUUAAGCUUGUGGCUGCGUCCCAUGACUGAAACUAUGCUAUUCACAUAAACAAAAAUAUUCUCAUCAUCUUCUGUUUCAAUGGGAAUAUGCUUAAGCUUUUUUGGUACAAAGAUUAAAGAAAACUACGUGUCCAUCACUGUCAACCAUAAGACACUCAUCCCCCCCACAAUUCCACAGUUCUAGACCUACGUAUCUGAUCAUCUGUGCCCUCAAUAGUCAAGUAUUUUGUCCAAGCACCCUUAAAGUCAUCAUCCAUCACCCACAUUUCAUAAGGUUCAGGAUAUCGACGAUCGUCCACACUAAUGGCAAAAAAAGCAACUGAUUCAUUCCAAACAGUAAGCUUCAAAUAGAGGUGAUUCGACCGGACAAACUGUUGGAGCUCAGAUGGUAAGGGUAUACCGUGAAAUACCUCACGACUUGUAUCGAAGGAAAUGAUCAAUCUCCCAUUCGCAUGGAAUCGAUGCCCAACUACGUCAAAUGGAAAUAAUUCCUUAUCUUGCUCAAUUCCCAGCCAAUAACACAUUCCCUUGAAGGACAUCUGGAAAUACUCAGGCCAAAACAAAGUAGUUUCGGUUUCUAAAGAAUCUGUGUUGAUCUCUUCCCAAAAAUCACAACCCAUGGUGUAUACUACUGCUCUGUGCCGACUAAGAAAAGUCCCGGCAGUCUUCAUGUACCUCUUGAAAAUAAGUAGUAAAGGUCACAACUUUGUACUCAUUAGACAUGGGGUCAUAGCCAAAUCCAGUAUGAAAACCAGUUUCCAUAUGUUCUUGCCCAUCGUAAUCAUCCGGCUGGUCUAAGGGCCACAUUGGAAGGCAUGGCUCAUCGGGAAUACGAUUGAAUUCUCCAAUUCCGGGAUUGCAUAAAACUAGGCUACUCUCACUAGAUAGUAAAACGAUGCCAUUGCAGUGGCCUUGGAUAACAAAUUGUUGUUCCGGCACUCCGAUAUUUUGAAUCAAAAUUGAGGAAUAAUGAUGUCCUGGACACCAACAAGAGAGCAGCUAUUGCUAUGCUCGUCAUCAGUAUUAUCAUCGUCUUUGCAAAACUCAAGAAAUGAUAAUACUUCUUCAGUCUUCUCCUUCUUAGUGGUGCUGUUACACUUGGGCUCCUCCUCCUCCUCCUCAUGCUGCUGCGCUGCACUACUAAUUGCGCCAAAAAGACGUGGAGAGUGGUGAGAUUGUUGUUCGCGGAGUUGGAGAGGUGCUUUGACACGAAACCCGGAUUGUUGAUGAGAGCAGACCACCAUUUAGAGACACAUUUGAAUCGCAUCAGAGUUUUGGGAGGCAGAGUUAGUAGGAUUUUCACCAACAUAUCUUGUCCCAUUUUCAU